AGAAUCAACGCUGGCGGCGUGCCUAACACAUGCAAGUCGAACGAGAAAGUGGAGCAAUCCAUGAGUAAAGUGGCGACCGGGUGAGUAACACGUGACUAACCUACCUUCGAGUGGGGGAUAACCUCGGGAAACCGGGCUAAUACCGCAUAACAUCUUUGGAGUGGAAAUUCUGGAGAUCAAAGGAGCAAUUCGCUGGAAGAGGGGGUCGCGGCUGAUUAGCUAGUUGGCGGGGUAACGGCCCACCAAGGCUUAGAUCGGUA
This 260-nucleotide ribosomal RNA is filed under the name uncultured bacterium. RNAcentral's name for it is "partial small subunit ribosomal RNA". It matches the Rfam family "Bacterial small subunit ribosomal RNA", at positions 26 to 285 of the family's 1533-position model. The record is from RNAcentral.